GCGCGAAAACUCUGCAAUGCGCGAAAGCGUGACAGGGGGAAUCUGAGUGGUACGCAUUUUAGCGUAUCUUUUGCCAAGACCAAAUAUCUUGGAGAAUAAGUUCUGGGCAAGACCAGUGCCAGCCGCCGCGGUAACACCGGCAGAGCAAGUGGUAUCCACGAAUAUUGGGCCUAAAGAGCUCGUAGCCGGCCUCUUAAGUUUCCUGUGAAAUCUCCGGGCUUAACUCGGAGGCGCGCAGGGAAUACUGAGGGGCUUGGGAGCGGGGGAGGUCUAGAGUACUUUCGGGGUAGGGGUAAAAUCCUAUAAUCCUGAAAGGACUCCCAGUGGCGAAGGCGCUAGACCAAAACGCGUCCGACGGUGAGGAGCGAAGGCUAGGAGAACGAAUCGG
This 388-nucleotide ribosomal RNA is filed under the name uncultured bacterium. RNAcentral describes it as "bacterial SSU rRNA". It matches the Rfam family "Archaeal small subunit ribosomal RNA", at positions 339 to 727 of the family's 1478-position model. The record is from RNAcentral.